CUUAAUCUAACGGCUGAAAUUCAUUCUUUCAUUAUCAAAGACCUAGACACAAUUAGCAUUUUAAUUUUUCCAUUCUCUCUCCAAAACAGACGUUUCUUCUCCUCCCUUUCCUUUUCUUCACAAAUUCCAUUGUUGCUUAGCCAUGACAGACCUGCCAUUACCAUUUUUGAACAAGAAGCUCUGUACCUCAUUUAAUUUUAUUCAACAUCAACGUUCAAAUUUCAAAAACAUUCAAGAGCUUUUCAUUCAAUUUCGAAAUCCCGCCUAAACCAAGAACCCUAGAAAUCAGCCUAGAAAUACCCGCCUUUGAAGAGAUUUUCGACCAAGCUGAGAGCCGCCCCUUUUACCCCAAAAAUUGAAGGUCUUCGGUCGUUGCCUUCACCCGUUGAGACCAAACUUAGAGCCACCGCUCUUCCCCUCUAUAAAUUAUUCUAUGCUUAUUAACUGUUAUUCAUCUCAGAAAAGCUUCAUUCUUUUUUGACUCCACAACUAUUUCUGUUGGGUAUUUACCCUUGCAUAAAAUCGAUUAUCUUCAUUUAUUUUAGUCGAAUAUGCUUUUGUCCGAGAGGAAAGAGUGGUCUUAAAAUCAGAGUUCGAUAACGCAUCUAAGAUUCGUGCCUCGGUUCGUUGCUUCGCAACAGGUCAGUUUUCUUUCUAAACUGCAGUCUUCCCUUAUAUUGUUAUUAAACGUAAAGUAUGUGUUGUUUCGUCUUCUGUAGAAAUAACAUUCCUUAGUGAGUCGUGUUUUAGUUGUUUACUUACUAAACGUGAACAAGACGUAUUUGUUAAAAUUACUCUACAAAAUGGGUUAUGCCGUUUUAGCCAGGAAUUAUGAUCUAAGUAUAAGAGUCAUGUUUUAGGAGUUGUAUAGAAACUGUGCCUUUAAGCAUUUUAUAAGAUAGACCAUGUAUUUUUAAAAGAUUGAGUGGUCAGUGCUUUCUUCUUUUUAUCCUUCCCCUUUUCUUUCGAAUCUGCUAGUUUUGAAUAUUUUUUUGAUUUGGUUUAAGUUGAGAUUAAUUCAUGUCCUAUGUCCUAGAUAUCAUGAAAAAUAAGUAUUCGUCAUAUGUUUGAUAAAUAAUUAAGUUAAUAUGACAUUCUUGUAAUUCUUAGGUUUGUUAAAAGUAGUAUGUUAAGUGUUUUUUGUCUAAAUAUAUAGUAAUCAUGAUUUAGUUGAUGCCUAUGUCAUGUUUAAGACUCAUUUUAUUUAUAAAUUCACUCUUAUUUACUAGAGGUUUAUAAAUACUAUGCACAUAGGUCCCAUUAUUUUGCACAUAAUUUUAAGAGAGUAGAAUUCAUGUCUAGUUACCAUGUGUAUGCGAAAUUUACCAUGCCAAAUAAUGUCUUUUUUUUGUCUUAAGAGAGUUACAAUACCACAGAAUAAAAUCACGACAGAGGAAGAAUACAUAAACAACAAAAUGAUACGGCGCACAUCCCGAUCCCACCAUAUAACAAGUAAUAAUAUGAACAUUUACCCUUAUUACUCUUUGUUGCGGUGUGCAACCCGAUAUUACCAGUCCACCCUUAUUACUCCUCAUAUAUCACCCUUAUUCCUCCUGUUGCGGCGUGCAACCCGAUCCCACAUGUCCACCCUUAUUACUCCUUGUUACGGCGCAACCCAGUCCCACUAGACAAUCACAUUUCACUCUUAUUCCUCUUGUUGCAGCGUGCAACCCGAUCCCACUCUAUAAGUACCAAUCACAAAAUAAGAACAAGUAUUUCACAAUUUAUCUCAAAACCCUCCACAACAUUUAUACCUCAAACCGAAACAACGGGAAUUCUAUACAGUUAUGAAACUUCAUUAGUUAGUACUACACAGCGAGACCAACCAAAGUGUACCAUGAAGCACCAAUAAACCAACUUAAACCAAUAAUGUAAUAUAAUGAAACUACGGAACAAUUAAUACCUUCAAUAGAGAAAAUAACAUUUAACAAGAAGCAAUUAGACAUGGAAGCAUCAAUAAGCAAGUAGCAGUUAAGACAGGAAAACAAUAUACUAGGAACGGGGAAGGGAACAAGCAAAAUAGAUAAUUUUGCGGCGCAUAGGUACUCAUCACCACACCUAUACGCCACACACAUGGAAUUUCACAUAGCAACUAAGUCGAGGAUCCCUAAUCCCUCGAGUCAAGGUUAGACCAAACGCUUACCUCAAACCAACGGGCAAUUCAAAGCUCAAUUACCUCUUUACCUCUCGAUUCCACCUCUAAUCCACUCGUAUCUAGUCAUAAUUAACUUAAUAACAUCAAUUAUCGCCAAAGAAAUCAGUUCCAAUGCAUAACUAUAAGUUUCCCCACAUUUUUCCCAAAAAGACAAAAACUGACCCCGGGCUUGCUUAGUUAAAACUCAAAAUUCGGACAAAAACUCGAUUACCCAUUCACCCCGAGCCCGGAUAUACAAUUAGUUUUGGAAUCUGCAAAUCCCUAAAUUUCCAAAUUCCUAAGUUCUACCCAAAAACGACCAGUUCCACCAUGAAAAACCCUAGAUUCUAGGAUGAAAUCUUGUAAAAAGAUGUAUUAUAUUAAAAAUAAAUAAGUUAAGAAUCAUUACCUAUGAUUUGGGGAAGAAAUGGUCUUUGGAAAAUCGCCUCUUGAGGUUUAGGUUUUGAAAAUGGGAGAAUGAAUGAAAAAUCCCGUCUAAGUCUAAAGUUAUCAGCUGCAGAUGUCGCAUUUGCGACCUGAGCUUCGCAAUUGCUAAGCUCGCAAAUGCGAAGGACCAUAGAAAUUGCGAAGUCCUGCACAUUUCUGUUGCCUUUACAAUUGCGAAGUUAAAUUCGCAAAUGCGAUGAAAUGAUCGCAAUUGCUAUCCCUGCCCUUCCCAGUUUUACUUCGCAAAUACGAAGAAAUCUUCGCAAUUGCGAAGACUGCUUGGCCCAGCCUUCCUUCGCAUUUGCGAUGAAGGCCUCGCAAAUGCGAACCCUGACCUCGCAAUUGUGAGGCCUGAGGCCUGCAACACAGCUGAAGCAUACCAACUAUUUUUCUUAAGUCCAAAACACUCUGUAACUAUCCGAAACUCACCUGAGCCCUCGAGACUCCAAAAUAAACAUGCAUACAAGUCUUAAAACAUAUUACAAACUUGCUAAUGCGAUCAAAUCGCCAAAAUAACACCUAGAACUAUGAAUUUAGUACCACAUUGUAUGAAAUUUUUCAAGAUAGAUUCAAAACUUCUAUUUUUCUCAACCAAAGGUACGAAUCACGUUAAAUCAAUUCCAUUUUUCACCAAAUUUCACAGAUAAGGUUUAAAUAUCAUAAAGGACCUACACCGGGCUCCGGAAUCAAAAUACGGGCCCCAUACAACCAAGAUCAGAUCCUUUAAAUUAUUAUAUUUUCAGUCUUAUCAAUUUCCUUCAAAAAUUCAUUUCUCGGGCUAGGGACCUCGGAUUUCGAUUCCGGACAUACGCCCAGAUCCCAUAUUUUACAACGGAACCUCCAGGACCGUCGGAACACAGGUUCGGGUCCGUUUGCCCAAAAUGUUGAUCGAAGUCAACAAAAAUUAACUUUUUAGGCCAAAAAUCAUCAUUUCUUAAAUCUUUCACAUAAGGACUUUUCGGAUACACGCCCCGACUGCGCACACAAAUUGAGGAGAGGUAAAAAUGAGGGUUUUAAGUCCUCGGGACAUGGAUUCAAUUUUAAAAUAGAAGAUGACCCUUUGGGUCAUCACAUUCUCCACCUCUAAAAUAAACGUUCGUCCUCGAACGGAUAUAAAAAAGUAACUGGGAUAGUGAAAAGAUGGGGAUAUCUAUUUCGCAUAUCGGACUCAGACUCCCAGGUGGCUACCUUAAUAGGUUGACCUCUCCACUACACACGAACCGAAGGAUAACUUUUCGACCUCAACAGACAAACCUAUCGGUCUAGAAUAGCUAUCGGCUCCUCUUCGUAGGUCAAAUCCUUGUCCAGCUGGACUGUGCUGAAAUAUAACAUGUGGGAUUGAUCGCCGUGAUACUUUCGAAGCAUGGACACAUGAAACACUGGAUGUACUGCUGAUAAACUUGGUGGCAAUGCAAGUUUGUAGGCCACGUCUCCCACUCAUCAACGAUCUCAAAAGGUCUGAUGAUCCUAGGGCUUAACUUGCCCUUCUUCCCAAAUUGCAUCACACCCUUCAUGGGUGACACCCGAAGCAACACUCUCUCUCCGACCAUGAAUGCCAUAUCACGAAACUUAGGGUCGGCAUAACUCUUUUCCUAGACUGAGCAAUACGAAGUCUCUCCUGAAUGAUCUUAACCUUAUCCAAGGCAUCCCGUACUAAAUCUGUACCCAGUAACCGAGCCUCCUCGGCUCAAACCACCCAACCCGCGAUCGACAUCGUCUACCAUACAAUGCCUCAUAGGGAGCCAUCUGGAUGCUCGACUGAUAACUAUUGUUGUAGGCAAACUCUGCUAACAGCAAGAAUUGAUCCCACGAACCUCCAAAGUCAAUAACACAGGCGCGAAGCAUAUCCUCCAAGAUCUGAAUAGUACGCUCAAACUGUCCAUCCAUCUGAGGAUGAAAUACUGUGCACUACUAGACCCGCAUACCCAACUCACGCUGUACUGCCAUCCAGAAAUGCGAGGUAAACAGCGUACCUCGAUCAGAAAUGAUAGACACUGGCACACCAUGAAGACGAACGAUCUCAUGGAUAAAUAUCUUUGCCAACCGCUUCGAAGAAAUAGAAACUGCCAUAGGAAUGAAAUGCGCUAACUUAGUCAGCCUAUCCAUAAUAACGCAUACUGCAUCAAACCUCUGAGUCCGUGGGAGUCUAACAACGAAAUCCAUAGUGAUACGCUCCUAUUUCCACUCAGGAAUCUGAAUCUCCUGAAGCAAACCACCAGGUCUCUGAUGCUCGUACUUUACCUAUUGACAAUUCAAACAUCGAGCUACAUAUGCAACAAUAUCCUUCUUCAUCCUCCUCCACCAAUAAUGUUGCCACAAGUCCUAAUAUAUGUUAGCGGCGCCCGAAUGAAUAGAAUAUCGGGAACUAUGGGCCUCCUCUAGAAUCAACUCCCCAAGCCCAUCUACAUUAGGCAUACAAAUACGACUCUACAUCCUCAAAACUCUAUCAUCUCCAACUGUAACCUGCUUGGCAUCUCCGUACCGCACUGUGUCCCUAAGUACAAGCAAAUGAGGAUCAACAUAUUGCCGAUAUCUGAUAUGCUCAAACAAGGAAGAUCGAGCGACUGUACACGCUAGAACAUGACUGGGCUCAGAAACAUCCAACCUCACGAACUGAUUGGCCAAAGCCCGAACGUCUAAGGCAAGCGGUCUCUCACUAACUAGAAUAUACGCAGUGCUGCCCAUACUAGCUGACUUCCUACUCAAAGCAUCGGUCAUCACAUUGGCCUUCCUGGGAUGGUACAAGAUGGUGAUAUCAUAGUUUUUCAAUAGCUCCAACCACCUUCUCUGCCUCAAAUUGAGCUCUUUUUGUUUAAACAAAUACUGCAAACUCUUAUGAUCUGUGAACACCUUACAUGACACACCAUAUAAAUAAUGCCUCCAAAUCUUCAGCGCGUGAACAAUGGCUGCUAGCUCUAAGUCAUGAACUGGGUAAUUCUUCUCGUGAAUCUUCAACUGUCGUGAAGCAUACGCAAUAACCUUGCUAUUCUGCAUCAACACCACACCAAGUUCAAUACGAGAUGCAUCACAAUAUACUGUAUAGGGCCCUGAACCUGUGGACAACACCAACACCGGCACCAUAGUCAAAGCUGUCUUGAGCUUCUGAAAGCUCGCCUCACACUCGUCCGACCACCUAAAUGGGGCACCCUUAUGGGUCAACCUGGUCAUCGGGGCUGCUAUAGAUGAAAACCCCUCCAUAAACCGAUGGUAAUAACCUGCCAAACCUAAGAAACUUUGGAUCUCUGUAGCUGAUGUGGGUCUAGGCCAGUUCUUGACUGCCUCAAUCUUCUUAAGAUCUACCUGAUUACCCUCUACUGAUACAAGGUGACCCAAGAAAGCAACUGAACUCAACCAAAACUCACAUUUCGAAAACUUAGCAUAUAACUGGAUGUCUCUCUGAGUCUGAAGAACAAUCCUAAGAUGCCGCUCAUGCUCCUCUCGGCUGGGAAAUAGAUCAAGAUAUCAUCAAUGAAAAUAAUCAUGAAGGAAUCCAGAUAGGGCUUGAACACCCGAUUCAUCAAAUCCAUAAAUUUUGCUGGGCCAUUUGUCAAGCCAAAUGACAUCACUAGGAACUCAUAAUGCCCAUAUCGAGUCCGAAAAGUUGUCUUAGGGACAUCAGAUGCCCUAAUCCUCAACUGAUGGUAGCCAAACCUCAAAUCAAUUUUUGAAAACACCUUGGCACCCUGAAGCUGAUCAAGUAAGUCAUCAAUCCUCGACAAUGGAUACUUGUUCUUGAUGAUGACUUUGUUCAACUGCCGGUAAUCUAUGCACAUCCUCAUCGAUUCAUCAUUAUUCUUUACAAACAACAUGGGUGCACCCCAGGGUGAGACACUAGGUCUAAUAAAGCUCUUAUCAAGCAAAUCUUGCAACUGCUCCUUCAAUUCUUUCAACUCUAGCAGGUUCAUACAAUACAUAGGAAUAGAAAUGGGCUGAGUGCCCCGAGCCAAAUCAAUGCAAAAGUUGAUAUCCCUAUCGGGUGGCAUCCUCGGUAGGUCUACAGAAAUUACCUCUAGGAUCUCCCGAACAACUGGUACAGAAUUCAUGGAAGGAAACUCUGCACUAGAAUUACAAACAUAAGCCAAAUAAGCCAAACACCCCUUCUCGACCAUACACCAAGCCUUUAUAUAAGAGAUAACCAUGCUAGUAGAAUGACCAGGAGUCCCUCUCUACUCCAAUCGAGGAAACCCCGAUAAUACUAAGGUCACGAUAUUAGCGUGACAGUCCAAUAUAGCAUGAUAAGGUGACAGCUAAUCCAUCUUGAAAAUGACAUCGAAAUCAACCAUAUCGAAAAGUAGGAGAUUUAUGUUAGUCUCAAGACCCCCAAUAACAACCACAUACGAGCGAUAGACACAAUCUACAAUAUUAGAAUCCCCCACCGGUGUGAACACAUAUAUGAGAGAAUUCAAAGAAUCAUGAGGCAUAACCAAAUAUGAAGCAAAAUAAGAAAACACAUAGGAGUAUGUAUACCCUGGAUCAAAUAGAACUGAAGCAUCUUUAUUACCAACCGAAACAGUACUUGUGAUAACUGCAUUGGAGGACUCAGCCUCAGGCAUGGCUGGGAAAGCGUAACAUCAGGGAUGGGCCCCCAUCACUCUGAACCAUAUCUCUAGGAUGGCCUCGUGCUAGCUAGCCUCCACCUAUAAUGGCUUGGCCUCUACCUCUAAUGGCUUGAUACUGCGGCUGACCCUGACGAGCUGACUGACCGCGAUAAUAACUCUAAAAAGGAGGUGCUCUGAUAGGAGUUAGCAAUGCACUAUAAGUUGGCUGCCCUGAAGGAGGUACAUAAGGACCACAACCACCUGAAUCUCCAUGGGAUGUCUGAACUGCUGAAUGAAAUGGCCUGGGAGGAUGGCCCCUACCAAAAGUACCCUAACCUCCAGAUGAGGCCCCACUGAAUCCACCAAAGUGACGAGGCCUCUUGUCAGACCCUUGACCACUCCCCUUUGAUAGAACCAUCUCAACUCGUCUGGCUACAUUGGCUGCAUCCUGGAAAGAAAUCUCACUCCCUGACUCCUUAGCCAUCUGCAAUCUGAUAGGUUGAGCAAGUCCCUCAAUAAACCUUCUCACCCUCUCUCUCUCUCGAUAGGAAUUAUAAGAAGAGUGUGAUGGGCCAAAUCAACAAAUCUGGUCUCGUACUGAGUGACAGUCAUAGAACCCUGCUAAAGGCACUCAGACUACCUCUGAUAGUCCUCUUUUUGAGUGAUGGAAAGAUACUUAUCCAAAAAUAGCUGAGAGAACUGGUCCCAAGUGAGAGCUGGUGACCCAGUUGGUCUGGCCAAACAAUAAUCCCUUCACCAUUUCUUGGCAGAACCUGAGAAACGAAAGGCAUCAAAGUCGAUCCCAUUAAUCUCCACUAUCCACAUGUUCCGUAACACCUCAUGAAAACUAUCCUGAUAGUCCUGGGGAUCCUAUGAAGAUGUACCGACCUAGGUAACACUCUUCAUAAGGCCCACCAGAUGGACCAAAGCAUCAUGAAGUACAAGGGUAGCUAUGAACCCCUCUGGAACCUGAGUUGGCCCUGCUAGAACGGUCUGGGCCGGAGCCUCCUCAUCAAACUCUACAUGAGGCUCUGCCGCUGGUGCUCCUGCUUGAGCUCCAGGCUGAGCCCUGCCCCUGCCUCGGCCCCUAGCACGGCCUCAUUCUCGACCUCUGCCCCUCGUAGGAGCUGUUGUUGGGGGCUCGGGCUGCUGAUCAGCUGAUGAAGCGGUACACAUUCUCGCCAUCUCUGAAGGAAUAGAGUAAUAAGUUCAAUUAGCAUUGAGGGAUCAAAUCGUACGACAGAGAAGAAUAGAAGUGAAAAUGUUCUUAACUCUGUACCCUCUGGGGGAUAAGCAUAGACAUCUCCAUACCGAUCCCUCAGACUCUACUAAGCUUGUUCGUGAAUUGUGAGAUUUAGGCAACUUAGAGCUCUGAUACCAACUUGUCACGAUCCUAAUUUCCCAUAGUUGGGACUAUGAUGACGCCUAACAUCGCACUCGCUAGGCAAGCUAACGAUAGAGUUAUAAUAACCUUUUUCCAUUAAAUUUUCAUAGUUAAGAUUAACAAAAGCUAAUUCAAAUAGAAUUAAAUAGUAAGUACGUAUUUAACUGAUUAUCCUUAUACUAUUAACAAAACUGAACAAUUACCACCCAGAAACGGGUGUCAUAACUCACAAACGUUCUACGAAUAUACAAGUAUGGGUUUGAAAGAAAAAUACAUCUGUCUCAAAAGAAAAUAAAACAGAAAUGAGGAAAACAUAUGAGGUGAUGUCAGGGCCUGCGGACGCCUGCAGGACUACCAACCAGCUCCGAAAUCUGCACAGAAAGUGUAGUAUCAGUACAAUUGACCCCAUGUACUGGUAAGUGACAAGCCUAACCUCGACGAGGUAGUGACGAGGCUAAGGCGGAUCUUAUACAAUAUUAACCUGCAAUAGUAUAUAAUAAAGCAAAAAGGAAAUACGGAACAAAAUGGAACAGUAACUUGUAGUAAAUAAAUACUGAACCCAAAUAGUACUCAGGUAUAACCAAUCCUUUUACAAUACCACGGAAUAAAAUCACGAUAGUGGAAGAAUAAAUAAACAACAAAAUGAUGCGGCGCGCAUCCCGAUCCCACCAUAUAACAAGUAACAAUAUGAACAUUCACCCUUAUUACUCCUUGUUGCGGCAUGCAACUCGAUCCCACCAGUCCACCCUUAUUACUCCUCAUAUAUCACUCUUAUUCCACCUGCUGCAGCGUGCAACCCGAUCCCACCUGUCCACCCGGAUAACUAAGGAUUCUAGCUCUUUUUACUCGAGUUUUGGAUUAAAAAUAUAUACAAAUACUCUCAAAGGCUUACAUGUUGUACUUGUUUACAGGGUUUGGUCAAAAAGGUGAUAAUUAGUCAAAACUAGCUCAAAAAGGUUUGAAACAUGCACAAGUACCAAGAACAAGUCAAAGCACAGUUGCAACAGACCCACCGCGUCCGCAAGCCAUUUAGUGCAGUCCGCAAUGAGGAGAUUCAGAGAGGUGCACUUUUGCAGCCUAAGGCAAUGCGGUCCGCAAUGGAUUUAUUGCGGUCGCAGUAGCCUCUUUGUGGCCGCAAUCUAUUUUGUGCAGUCCGCGGAGAAGGGGGCCCAGAGAGUUGGGUGUUUGAAGAUAAAAGCCAAUGCGGUCUGCGGUACUUUUUGUGCGGACCGCAAUUGAAGCCACCGCGGCUGUGGUGCAUUUUAUGUGGCCCGCAGUAGCCAGAUUCAGAGAGUGAAUAGUCAAUCCAAGAAGCCUCAUCGCGGUCCGCGGUGCAUUUUAUGUCGACCGCAGUACCUCGUCAGGGGUAUAUUUGUCCAGAAAAUUUGGACUAGUAUAAAUACUUUCUUUUCACAUUUUUAUGGCAUCUUUUGUAAUCUAUUAGACUCCAAAGCACGUGAACGGCUAUUUUACUCUAUUUUGAGUAAUUUGUAGCUAGAUUAACACUGAAUAUACAUUAUCUUUGACUGUAAUUAAAUCUUAUGGGUUAUUCUUCAUCUAUUUCUCUGAUUUCUUCCAUUAUUAUGAGUAACUAGAACCAUUAGCUAGGGUUGUGGCUCAACCCUAGUGUGGGUAUUUGAUGGGUCUUUUGAUUUAAGGCUUAGAUGUUUAUGGGUAGUUGAUAUGUGGGUUGAUUUGUGUUUUCCAUGUUGAAUUAGUGGUUGCAAACACUAAUUUGUGCCUAUUUAACUUGGGCUCUUCUUGAAAAAGAGAGCUUGAGUCUAGGAAAAUUAGCCCAACAAGGAAUUGGAGUAUAAUCAAGAGAUUGAUAGCCCCAAUUAAAGGGGUAAACCUAGAGAUAGUAAUACCCGACUUGAACCUUUAUUGCUUGCACAAUUUUGAC
RNAcentral lists this long non-coding RNA (10406 nucleotides) under Nicotiana tabacum (common tobacco). RNAcentral describes it as "long non-coding RNA (NTAB_LNC003653)". The record is from RNAcentral. Lineage: Eukaryota; Viridiplantae; Streptophyta; Magnoliopsida; Solanales; Solanaceae.